This 253-nucleotide ribosomal RNA is filed under the name uncultured bacterium. Its description in RNAcentral is "partial 16S ribosomal RNA". It matches the Rfam family "Bacterial small subunit ribosomal RNA", at positions 524 to 776 of the family's 1533-position model. The record is from RNAcentral.
UACGGAGGUUCCAAGCGUUGUUCGGAAUUACUGGGCGUAAAGGGAGCGCAGGCGGACAAGUCAGUCUAAAGUGAAAUCCCGGGGCUUAACCUCGGACUUGCUUCGGAUACUGCUUGUCUUGAGUUCGUGAUAGGAAGAUGGAAUUCAGGGUGUAGCGGUGAAAUGCACAGAUAUCCUGAGGAACACCGGUGGCGAAAGCGGUCUUCUGGCGCGAAACUGACGCUGAGGCUCGAAAGCGUGGGUAGCAAACGGG